RNAcentral lists this ribosomal RNA (251 nucleotides) under uncultured prokaryote. RNAcentral describes it as "partial 16S ribosomal RNA". It matches the Rfam family "Bacterial small subunit ribosomal RNA", at positions 525 to 775 of the family's 1533-position model. The record is from RNAcentral.
ACGUAGGGUGCGAUCGUUAAUCUUAAUUACUGGGCUUAAAUCGUGCGCAUUCUGAUUGUUAAGCAAGACGUGAAAUCCCCGGGCUUAACCUGGGAAUGGCGUUUUGAACUGGCAGUCUAGAGUGCGUCAGAGGGGGGUGGAAUUCCACGUGUAGCAGUGAAAUGCGUAGAGAUGUGGAGGAACACCGAUGGCGAAGGCAGCCCCCUGGGAUGACACUGACGCUCAUGUACGAAAGCGUGGGUAGCAAACAG